UCCCCGGCUGGCCAAUGGCGAACCUCUACCCGGCUCACAUGACAUGCCUUUCUGUGCGCUCCCUCUCCUCUCAACGCUCAAUCCCGGCGAGUGCGGGCAUCACUGAAGACCUGACACCGGCGGAAUCGGACGUCCACUGUCUUCGUCAGAAUUAACCAGGCGUUAUCUUAAGCAAACUUUAUCACCAUCUGAUGAAAGCUGACCAUCCUGUCCAUGAGAAUGACCCUGCAUCGGCGGAGGAAGAGACUUUUUUCCCCCGUCUCCAAACCACCGGAGAGGCGCAGGGGCGAGACAAUAACGCCCAGAAGUUAUUGAAAUGAAUCGUCAUGAAAAGCUGGCAGAAGAAAACAGGAACAGAACGAGCGCUAGCAGCGUUCGCCUUCGCCGCAGAGGGAAGGAAAGGAAGCAGAUCACAACAAGGAAAAGACAAGAGUGAUGAAAGAGAGGUCCAGACAUGAAGGAGGCAUGCACUCACGUGCACACACACACAGAUGCAACGGCACCUAGAGUCUGUCUGCGGUCUACCACCAUCCUGCCACACACACACACACACACACACACACACAUACACAUACACAUGCCUGUUACGGUAAGAAUCAGAGACCACCGAGUUAGGGGGAUAAUAAUGGUGUGAAUGUGAGAAAACAAACUCAUUAUCCUCUGCUGUUUUUUGUCUCUGAGUAAUUUUAAGACAAAUUGACUACUGGUAUUCAAAACUGCUCUAAAUUCAGUAAUUAAGAAAAGAAAAAAGUAAUUUAACAUCACAGGGUGCACAAAGUACUUUCUUGGUGCUAAAAAUAGACUAAGAAAAUAAUGUCUUUAUUAAAUUUGGAUUUCUCUUUUUGGAACAAAUCCUAAUUUCUGCAUUUUCUAUAAUAUAAUUGAAUGUUUCUGUUGUCAUGCAUGUCAUUCAUAGUGUGUGAGACAGAGAGUGUGUGUAUGCAUGCAUAAAGCCCCCCCCUUUUUUUUUUCCUAUUUCCAUCAGUCAAAACCAAUCUCCACAAGUCAAGUUUAACGGCAGCACCACAUAUCCCACAAUACCCCACUCUGUGCCUCUCCCAGGCUUCCCAGCAUCCUGCUUCGCCCUCUGUCCCAAAAAAAAAAAAAAAAAAAAGCGUGCUGAAAUUACAGUGUGUGAGGCGGCAUUGUGGGAAACCUUCCCCCCUCCUCUUGCCCGCCAUGUUUGCCUUUCUUGUUCCUCCUUAUCGUUUUCUCAUUCUGCUACUGUUUUGGAUGGGCUCGAGUGUGCGGGGUUUAAUCUGACGUUCAUUUAACUGUCAAACAGUUGUCCGUGUUAGUUUGGAUCUACAGACUGAGGUUAACAAGGUAUUAAUGCAGUUCUAAUUAUUUUUUUUAUUAUUAUUUGUUGAUCAAAUUACAUUUCAGUUGUCCUUUCAGCAUGAGGGUUUUGUUUUAUGAACCGUUUGAACACAAGUAAAAACUAAAUCUAAUUAUUUGCAUUGAUCUGCCUAGUCAGCUAUAUAUUUAUGGCUUUGGCUACUGUUACGUAAUGAUAUAACUGAGUAGGGUUUCAUUUUUAUGCACACUUCAGGUUCAAACCCCUGAAAUCUGGCAGCUCCUUUCCAGGUAAAUUGGUCACAAAGUGACAUUGACUUUGUUGGUCAUCAUGAGCAAAUACUACAGCAUGGCAGCUCAGAAAAAAAAAAAAAAAAAAACAAGCGAGCAGCAUAAAUAAAUACAUAAAUGAAAGAGGAAAAAUCACGGAUUGCUGCUGGUAUCAAAGCUACUUAAAUCAAAAAGCAAAACCCGUCCUCUUGGUUUCUGGCUUCAGGUUAACUGACGGCACCUCCCUCACAGCAACCACACUACUAACCAGCUGUAAUGACACACUCCAUCAGUUCGGCUUUGCCUGUGCGGGGAUAGCUUGGUUAACAGUCGGCCUGAGAUGUGGCAUGAGAGAGAGAGUGUGUGUGUGUCUGUGUGUGUGUGUGUGUGUGUGCGUGCGCUGGCUAUUAAAGCACUUGAGAAUCAGAGAGGAAAAGAGUCACACUGCUAAUGGAUGUGUCUAUUGAUGUUCCCAUUUAGCAGCACACUGUAAACGAUAGGGCAAUGAUUGUGUUGAAGACGGAAGGAGGUGGAGGAGGAGUGUAGAGCGGUUUGGCUGGGCGAUGAUAAUGACAAGGAAGGUUAUUAUUUGGCACCCUGCGGGGUCUCUCUCUCCGCUUUGUGUGUGUGUGUGUGUGUGUGUGUGUGUGUGUGUGUGUGUGAGUAAAAGAGGGAGAGAGGCACGCUUCCUGCAUCUCUCUCUCGCUCCUGUCGCUGUCCUUGCCUAUUGGCUAUUAUUCUCUUUUUCGCUUUUUCUCCCCCCCCCAGUCCACUCCUCUCUCACGACAUUACUCACUGCUGCUAGUCUACAUCCAAUUCUGGCCUUCUCACAUCCACUUCUAUUUCUCUUUUCUCAAUGGCCCUACCUUUUUUUUUUUGUAAUGUACAGUGCUGCAGAUAUCUUUUGUGAUGGUAGAUAAAAUAGCGGGGGAAAAAAAGAGGUCAAAGAUAGAAUAAUGCUGAAAAAAUAGUUUCUUGUUAUAAAUUUUUUAGGAUAGCAGGUUGCCCUUGAAAUAUUGAUUUACUCACCAUCAGAUUUUUUUUCUUUUUUCUCUCCCAGCUGUGUGUGCGUGUGUGAGCCCUGUCAGUUUCAAUCAGUGUGUGUGUGAUGAAUAUGAAUACAGUCAGCCUGCCUCCAGGUUUGGCAGUAGACCACCUCCAGCUGGACUCAGACCCCUACUCAAGUGUGCCUGUGUGUGUUUUGUGAGCGUGGUUGUACACGUCAGCCUGCAUCUGUCAGCGCCUUGACAACCUGAGGAUGAAAAAUAUACAACAUAAUAUGCCACUUGGCACACGAUGCAUCCAAAGCCCUUCAACACAGAGGAAGGCAUCCAGUUUCACCAUCAGUGGGAAUUGAACCCCUUGUUUUACUGAAUUGAGACGUACAAAAAAAAAAACCUCCAUAGGGUGAAAUGCAAUGAAAUUAGAUAGAAGUGCAUGUUUGAAACAGGUUUUGCUAGUUUUGGUAAAUGCUUGCAAAUGUUAGGAGGUAGGAUGUCUAUGUUUUAGUGCACGCACAAUCCUGCCUUCCUCACUUCCUUUCCCCCAAUUACUGUAAUCAGCCCCAUUCUUUCCAGUCCUGCUUGUCAGUCCUUAUGUGUGUGUGUGUGUGUGUUUGCUGUUGACUGCAUAUUGUUUGCUAGAAGAUUAAUAGUGUUUAAAUCUGUAAAUAUCUUGUCAGUGUAGUAGAAGUCCAUCUAUCAUUCUGUGUGUGUGUGUGUUUGUGUGUGUUUGUAAUCGCAGGGCAGCAGAUAAAGAGGGAGACGCCAUUCCAGCUGUGAGGGAAGAAGUCAACAUACACACACACACACACACACACACAUAUACACACACAGCCGGAGGCGUGUGAGCAGGUGAGCAUUAAGUCAGGCAGCUAAACAGAUCACGUCGCGGUAUGAUAUCUGCAGACAGGCAGACAGAGAAGGCCGGUCUGUACCUGCAGGCGGAGAGCAACAACUCACAGCACCCCUCGCCAGGAAUUUCCUCCCCCUCCUGAGUGAGAGACGGAGAGAGGGAGGGGUGUGUGUGACAGAGACGGUGAAAGAGAAACGGACAUAAACUCACUGAAGUGUUUCCAUGCAAACAGAAUAGUAAAUCAUGAUUACGAAGUGGACGGCAAUUUUUUUUUUUUUUUUCCAGAUUUGAUCAAAAGUCCUUCAAUGUCACGAAAUAGUUUAACUUUGACAUUAAGCUGACAUGAUGCUUUGGUGGUAGAGACACAUUUACAAACAAAAUAAAGAACAGCCUGUUUUUUAGCCCAGCAUCUUAAGAAAAGACUUCAAAUGAGACUUUGGACAUUCAAAUUUUUUUUGUCAGAUUUUGUGCGUCGUAACUACCACAACACUCCCAUAUGAAGAGCGUUAAGAACUGAGUACAUUUGUGUUUUUAAAGAACUUGGAUGCAAACAUCAUCACUCAGUUCAUCAACAUUUUAAUAUUUAUCUCUUUUAGCGAGUUAAAUAAUUGUAGCUUUUACAUCUCUGUACUUCCUCUCGUCUUUUGUAUCAUAUUCAACCCGUAUUUUUUCACUUCAACCAUGUUUUUUUUUUUCACCCCCCAUGACUCAGAUGAUAUUCACAGGGACGCAAUAAUGUAAGAGAACACUAAGAGGGUAGUGAGAAAAAAUAUCUCCUGUGUAGACAAAAAGUCACACAAAAACUGUCCCAAUGUGCCCCCUACUUAUGUUAGCCACAUUUUCAACAUUCUCCCUUAACCCCAUUUGAUGAAAGGAUAUCCUUUGACAUAAAAACAAAAAAGAACGACGCAUUCACACGCUACUGUAAUAUCAAGUACAGAUGCUUCUUUUGUUAUUUGGGAGUCAUUCGAUCACCUCCUGUAUGAUUUGUCUUUCUGGAAUUACUUGGGUGUUUUGACAGGGUCCACAGUACUAAUUGUGAAACUUUGACAGUAUCCGUUACGCAAACUUGUUCUGCUAGUUUGCUUUUGUGAACGCUCCCUAAGAACGGCUUUGACAUUUUUAUUUUUUUUCACAGGUUUUUAUAGCUUCCUUUCAUUCACAAUGUGCUCGGCAUAUGUGUCCUUUAUCUGUGGCGUCCUGUAUCACGUUCAUAGUUGUAAUUCCCCUUUGGGAGAUGCCCAUUACAGUUGUGGUUGAGCAGCUUCACUGAACCAACUGUGGGUUAUGUUGUUGCCUAAGAGAGCCACAGUAGUAGUUACUAAAUAGGGGAGAGUUAUCAGUUCACAUCUCCUGCGUAGAUUUUCCCAACUGAAGUUGUUUCAUGGAGAUUGUUGCUAUUCCUUAUCUCAGUUUUUUUUUUUGUCCUGGUGUUUUUAAAAGCUCUUUAUAUUUAGCCAACAGAACCUGUCCUGAAAUUUUUAUGCGUCACAACUCUCUCCACACAGACUACUGCAUCCACUUAUCUAAAAAUGAUUCAGUGGUAAAAUGUCAGAGCUGUCUGUGCCAUUAAGGCCAGCAUGUUUGAAGGAAGGACACCCUUGCCUGCCCUCUCCUUCCUCCCCCCCUCUGUCUCUUUUCAUUCCUCCUUUCUCGCUCCCCUUUAGCUCUCUCACCACAUCCUCCCCCCCCCUACCCAGCCCAGGCUGGUUUGAGGGCUGAUGCGCAGACCUUGUCAUUCAGAUUAGGGCCACAUUGUCAGCUCAGGGCCCUUCCUCUCUAGUCGCAUGUCCCCAAUCUUUCUUCUUACUGUCACCCUCAUCCUGCGGCCAGAGAAGACCUUAUAAAGCAACAUUCCUUCUCAUCCACUUCUGUCAAUUCCAACACUGUCACUCAAAUCACUGUUCGGGAGAGUGGAGAGAGGCCGAGUUAGCAGCAGUGUCCCUCGCAGCAAGGACUGUGCUUUUUGGUCUGAGCCGGGUUGACGUGUCACGAGCUAGCAAACUGUUUUUUUUGAUUGAGGUAUUUUGAGUUCUAAUUCUUUUUUUUUGUCUUUGCUAACAACUGACGAGCUUUUCAGAGGAAUAUAUUACCCGAGAUAAGCAGGAAAGGACAAAGUAGAAGCGGCGAUUGUGAUCCGAAGCAGAAAAGAGAAGCAAUCUUUUAAUAAAAUUGGUCAUUGUGUUUUGCUUAAUAGUAAAGACUACCAGUCAUGAUGUUGUUUUUGAGCCUACUCUUUCUGUGAAAUGAGUAUUUGGCAGGACAUGAGAUAUCCACCACAUCAUCUUAGUCACUCUUUAUCCUGCUGUGUAAAAGAGUCCCAGCACCAUAUUUAUCAUCCAACCACAUCUUGACUCACCGCCACAGUUUUAUUGUCACGUCGUAUCUAAUUGCUACAGCAGCUUUGUGGCAUUUAAUUUCUGUUGUUUCCACGACCCUGUUUUUUUUUUUCUCAUGAUGAGCAACAAUGAUUCAGCAGUAUGUAACGCAAGAUGUCGGGCAGUUCCUUUACUGGUAUUAGCACAAGGAGGUUAAAAAAAAAAAACAGUCUUCAGCCACAUCAUAGCGAAAACAACAGACGCUAUUGAUCUGGGUGAGUCGACAGUUUCAUACCCGGUGUCUUCCUCAUCCUCCACCUUGCAUGAAGCCCUCGAGGCAUACUGGUUUUCUCUCCAGAGGCCAUGCUGCUGUGCUUCAAUACAGCGUAUGACGACAAGCUGCAGCCUUCAGCCAGGUGCCGUGUUUACUAAAACCCGCUAUGAGUCAAGAGUUUCAAGAUGACUUCCCGUUUCUAACAGCUACUUGCAGUUGAAUAAAAUGUGCUCCCAUACCCUGACACUGUCUUUGGUGUCGUAAUGACCAUGCGUCAUGCAGCAUUCAAUGUCAUUGCCAGGACUGAAGAAGAGGUGGGGCAAAGCCAGUUCUGCUUCUUUUCUUACAAGGGCCGUGUAGAGGAGAGCACAUGGGCAUUUCUUUUAAUAAUAAAUCUAAUAAUAUAUUGCAUUUCAUUUAUAUCUGUGCAUGUUUGUUCCUUCAUAUUAAUCAUUUUUCCUGUCUCUUAUCCUUAGGUACAGUAUGUGAAUGAUCAGAAGAAUUUUGAAAGUUGUAAAUAGGUAUAGUCAUUUGUAGUUAUUUGAUAUUCCUGGAUGUAAAGAUCGCACCAUCAGAGUAUGUUAAAACAUUGCUUUUUUUAAAAAUGUGUCCCCGCUUAGAGAAUAGAAGAGAGAUUUAGUGAGAGAGGGUGAGAGUUAGAAGCCUCUACGCCCACAGAGAAGACUUGUUCCCUCUGCAUCUCUAAGCAGACUGUCAUCCCUGGUCACCAUCAGGUCUGUGCUCGCCCCAGUGAACAUUCAACGCUGUCGGUGAGUUUCAGCUAAAUUGAAAAAACCAUCGACCGUUGAUUGUACCCUGGGGCCAGCCUUUGUCACUCUGUUUCAAAAAAAAGGAAAGGUAAAACUGAGACACACAGGCAGGGCCAAUGACUUCUUGAAGAAUCACAUGAAGAGCACUGCGUCUAUCCUGCACAAACAAAAGGAAAAAUACUUCCAGCUUCCAAACCACAACAAAGGUCACAAUCAACAUUCAUUGCUGUCGGUGGGUUUAACUGUGUGGAAGAGCUCACUGAACGAUGAAUGCAACUGUGUCCCAGAUUUCAUCCGAACGUCAAAAGGAAUAGCGUCGCGAUAUGCUGAUGAUGGCAUUAUUUAUUUCUACCCCCUUCGCCUCCCACCAACGACGGGCACACACAGGCGGCGUGAAUUGACAGGCAGUUCAGAUUACAUCUCGAUCACGCUUGCUGGUGCGGAGGGGGUUCGAGUCCGGCUUCAGCAGCCGAAGAAAAUAAGAUGCAAGAGAUAGUUGGAAGCAAAUGACCUUUAAAGAAAAGUACGCAGCGAAUAUAUGGCUUGUAUUGCAUCUAGGGUUUGAUAAAUGAUUCAGUUGUAAAAUAAUGACUGAAAAAUAAACAGAAUAUGCUGAAUAUGAACAGAUGCAUUCCAACAUGGUAAGUGGACUUUUUGGAUAAAGAAAAAGAAGAAAAGGAUGUAUUUAUUAAAAGUAUAUAUUUAAUCAAUAUGGCAGAUGAGCUGCUAAAGCACUGAAAUCUAAAUAUGUUAAAAUCCCAUCAUUUUUUUAAAGUAUUAAAGUCAGUUUGGUAGAACAGGCACAUUAACAGCUUUUAAAUGGUAGAUGUGUCAUUUUGAAACAAAGCUGUUGAUAUGAUGGGAAAUAAAACAUGUACUUGCUUUUUUCGUAUCCAAGAUCUAUAAAGCUGUGGAACUUUAACUGUGGAUUUAUUGUAAAACUAUUUCAUGUUGUUUUCAUUAAAUAAAUUCUCACCAUUUGAACCCUCA
Molecule: long non-coding RNA, 7772 nt
Organism: Larimichthys crocea (large yellow croaker)
Lineage: Eukaryota; Metazoa; Chordata; Actinopteri; Sciaenidae
Exons: 3
Source: RefSeq, a predicted model, not a curated record